AAUAUACAUGUGGCUCACGGGCCUGUGCCUGUCACCACCAAAGCCAGCCAGACCCCCUGGAUGGCUAGUUGGCUCCGCCCUGCUAUGUAGUCAUGUGACCUCACACCUGGCUGCUUCAGGAAACUGAUGCUUUUCUGCUGGCGUGUGGUCUUCAUCCAUGAAGGCUGAAAGAGGUCCGUUUAAAUAAAGAAACAGGAAACCAGCCACAAAACAGCAGAUGUCCUCCAAUCAAGGUUCGGCUGUGUCACAUGGGCGUUGUUAUUCAUCUGUAAUGGAGGAGCUAUUUCCCUUUGAAGGACUGUUUGUAAGAGGAAGGCAUUUACGCACUACAGGUUCAACAGAUCCCAGGUGAGGGAGAGGAUACAGUAAAACAAGACCCACCCGGUGUGGCGUCAUCGCUACGUAUGUGCGCGUUUCUACGUCAUUCGGGUACCAUCCGCAAGUAACAACACGCGCAGGUGCAGAACUAGGCGUCACGAUGCCGUUGCCUGCCAACCAGCAUCCACAGCAUGCAUUACCCACGUUCAAAUGAAGUAUCUAGACUUAAGCUAACACCCUCAUCUUCUCGAUGCCAUGAAAGUGUAUCGUAACACAUCCAGGUACUGAGACUCUUUGAUGGGACCCGCGAUAACUAACAAAGCAGGACUCGGCUACAAAUCAAUAAAUACGACGAACUGGUUUUCAUACAACCAGUUAAAUAACCAAGCAGUCUAUUGGGAAAAGACAGAAUGACGGCGGGGCGAGUUUGGAGCCAGAUCGCUUUCGGGAAACUUUAGAAGAUCAAGUUGGCUGCGAUGGAGGCGGCGAGAAACAUCCUACAUGCACCAAGACCUACACUGGGACUGGGAGCCGGCUCCACCGCAGUAUUGCUGGUUUGCGCUUACCUCGCGUCUUCCCAGGCGUUUUGCGUCGAUGCCCCGAAGCAGAUCGCCUCUUCAAAGUACUAAGCGACCCCGGGCUGAAGGUGUUCUUCAUCUAGCUAGCCGGAGAUCAACGCUGUGCCUGUCCGGCAACACCACUCCCCCACCCCUUAACAGCCUUUAAAGCGCUCCUUUCAAUCUGCCUGGACGAUAGCCAGGAGUGAGCGGUCACUUUACCACCAUAUAAUGAAUGUAUGAUUUAUUUUGCGAUAGUGUUCAAACACUCUUUAUACUGGGAAACUAAGCGUACCGACAUGCGCCACCCAGCAGUCGGGAUUGUCGGUGGGGUCGUUGUAAAUGUUUCGUACAAUAAAGAGCGCUUCACAUUUG
Long non-coding RNA from Brienomyrus brachyistius, 1250 nucleotides. RefSeq lists it as uncharacterized. Lineage: Eukaryota; Metazoa; Chordata; Actinopteri; Osteoglossiformes; Mormyridae. The transcript is spliced from 5 exons. The record is from RefSeq and is a predicted model, not a curated record.